This 253-nucleotide ribosomal RNA is filed under the name uncultured prokaryote. RNAcentral describes it as "partial 16S ribosomal RNA". It matches the Rfam family "Bacterial small subunit ribosomal RNA", at positions 524 to 776 of the family's 1533-position model. The record is from RNAcentral.
UACAGAGGGGGCAAGCGUUGUUCGGAAUUACUGGGCGUAAAGGGCGCGUAGGCGGCCAUGCGUGUCUUCCGUGAAAUCCCUCGGCUUAACUGAGGACGUGCGGAAGAAACUGCAAGGCUCGAGUCCGGGAGAGGGGGGUGGAAUUCCCAGUGUAGCGGUGAAAUGCGUAGAUAUCUGGAGGAACACCGGUGGCGAAGGCGGCAUCCUGGACCGGCAUUGACGCUGAGGCGCGAAAGCCAGGGGAGCAAACGGG